ACAUACCUCUUUAACAAAUUUCAAAAAUUGGGGUAUUUAACGGAUUUACAUGGGACUUGUUGAAAUAUUUUAGAGUCUGAUUUAAUGCUGAUGUUAAUAAAAUCAAAUAAAAAAAGCAAUCAAGUUCUUCUGAACAUAGCUUUACUAUUAACAUAAAAAAAACGGCCAUUCAUACAUUUUGCAAAUUGUUUGAUAAAUGACAAACGUCAUGAACUUUUAAUUAUUUUUUUUUACCAAAGAACAUAAUCGUUAAAUCGUGUUUUGUUGCUCCACGGAACACUUCGAUAUACCUUUGACUUGAUAAAAAAAAUGCAAUUGCUCUUAAUAUAAUG
This is a non-coding RNA of Schizosaccharomyces pombe (fission yeast), 332 nucleotides long. Lineage: Eukaryota; Fungi; Ascomycota; Schizosaccharomycetes; Schizosaccharomycetales; Schizosaccharomycetaceae. The record is from the annotation of a GenBank genome assembly.